CCUACGGGAGGCAGCAGUAGGGAAUCUUCCACAAUGGGCGAAAGCCUGAUGGAGCAACGCCGCGUGGGUGAAGAAGGUCUUCGGAUCGUAAAACCCUGUUGUUAGAGAAGAAAGUGCGUGAGAGUAACUGUUCACGUUUCGACGGUAUCUAACCAGAAAGCCACGGCUAACUACGUGACAGCAGCCGCGGUAAUACGUAGGGGGCAAGCGUUAUCCGGAUUUAUUGGGCGUAAAGGGAACGCAGGCGGUCUUUUAAGUCUGAUGUGAAAGCCUUCGGCUUAACCGGAGUAGUGCAUUGGAAACUGGGAGACUUGAGUGCAGAAGAGGAGAGUGGAACUCCAUGUGUAGCGGUGAAAUGCGUAGAUAUAUGGAAGAACACCAGUGGCGAAAGCGGCUCUCUGGUCUGUAACUGACGCUGAGGUUCGAAAGCGUGGGUAGCAAACAGGAUUAGAUACCCGAGUAGUC
Molecule: ribosomal RNA, 465 nt
Filed under: uncultured bacterium
Lineage: Bacteria
Description: partial 16S ribosomal RNA
Rfam family: Bacterial small subunit ribosomal RNA
Source: RNAcentral